UACGGAGGGGGCAAGCGUUGUUCGGAAUUACUGGGCGUAAAGGGCGCGUAGGCGGUCGUGACAGGUCGCUUUGGAAAUCUCCGGGCUUAACUCGGAACGGUCAAGUGAUACUGUCGGACUAGAGUACAGAAGGGGCAACUGGAAUUCUCGGUGUAGCGGUGAAAUGCGUAGAUAUCGAGAGGAACACCUGCGGCGAAGGCGGGUUGCUGGGCUGAUACUGACGCUGAGGCGCGAAAGCCAGGGGAGCGAACGGG
This 254-nucleotide ribosomal RNA is filed under the name uncultured bacterium. RNAcentral describes it as "partial 16S ribosomal RNA". It matches the Rfam family "Bacterial small subunit ribosomal RNA", at positions 524 to 776 of the family's 1533-position model. The record is from RNAcentral.